UACAAGCACAUGUUAAUGGGCAUGACAGUGGAGAAUGGAAUGUGUUGCCUAAGGAUACUUCUGCCCUUCCUCUUACAUAAAGAGCCAGGGGAUCCUUACUGUUCAUACAGUCCAGAGGCUCUCAG
Molecule: non-coding RNA, 125 nt
Organism: Chelonoidis abingdonii (Abingdon island giant tortoise)
Lineage: Eukaryota; Metazoa; Chordata; Testudines; Testudinidae
Source: RefSeq, a predicted model, not a curated record